AAUAUCUCCUUCUCUCUCUCCAGCGGCGACAUCUCCGACUUUCCAGUUGAAGACAACUCUUCCCUCUGCCUGGUCGGCGUCGGCGAUAUCUCCUUCUCUCUCCCCAGUCGGGUGAAAUCUACUCUUUUCGAUUUACGCUUCUCUUCCCGCACUUCACUGACGCUAGAGACAACCCUUCUCUCCUCAAUCGGCGACAUCUGCUUUGACUAUAACUUUCUUCAGGUUUCAAGAUCUUUUAUGUGUAUGUUCUUAAAGAAUUUUAUAAUUUAUGAACUAUUAAUCUGAUUAUUUGGAUAUGUUAAAAAAUCUAAUUAUUUGCUAUUUGAUUAAUGUAAUACUGUUGAUUUUUAAAAUUUAUGGACAAUUAAUCUAAUUAUUUGAUUAUAAAUCAUUAUUUGCUGGGUUGCUGAGUUGUUGGUUCUUGUCAAUGAACAUUUCUCCUCCUACUGGGUUGUGCAACUGUUAGAUAGUUUAUUUG
RNAcentral lists this long non-coding RNA (478 nucleotides) under Manihot esculenta (cassava). RNAcentral's name for it is "long non-coding RNA (MESC_LNC005867)". Lineage: Eukaryota; Viridiplantae; Streptophyta; Magnoliopsida; Malpighiales; Euphorbiaceae. The record is from RNAcentral.